This 463-nucleotide ribosomal RNA is filed under the name uncultured bacterium. RNAcentral's name for it is "partial 16S ribosomal RNA". It matches the Rfam family "Bacterial small subunit ribosomal RNA", at positions 28 to 507 of the family's 1533-position model. The record is from RNAcentral.
GAUGAACGCUGACAGAAUGCUUAACACAUGCAAGUCUUUGGCGAAGCUGUGCUUGCACAGCCUAGCCAAGGCGGACGGGUGAGUAACGCGUAAGGAACUUGCCCUGCAGUCAGGGAUAACAGACGGAAACGACUGAUAAGACCUGGUAAAGUCAGGCGGACUCAUGUCCAGCCUGAUGAAAAGAGAUGCUGCAGGAGAGCCUUGCGUCCUAUUAGCUUGUUGGUGGGGUAACGGCCCACCAAGGCGAUGAUAGGUAGCCGGCCUGAGAGGGUGGACGGCCACAAGGGGUGUGAGACGCGGCCGUUACUCCUACGGGAGGCAGCAGUGGGGAAUAUUGGACUAUGGGGGCACCUCUGAUCCAGCAAUUCUGUGUGCACGAUGAAGGUUUUCGGAGUGUAAAGUGCUUUCAGCAGGGAAGAAAAAAAUGACGGUACCUGCAGAAGAAGCGACGGCUAAAUACGUG